ACUCAAAGGAAUAGACGGGGACCCGCACAAGCAGUGGAGUAUGUGGUUUAAUUCGAAGCAACGCGAAGAACCUUACCAGGGCUUGACAUCCACAGAAUCCCUCAGAGAUGAGGGAGUGCCUUCGGGAACUGUGAGACAGGUGGUGCAUGGUUGUCGUCAGCUCGUGUCGUGAGAUGUUGGGUUAAGUCCCGCAACGAGCGCAACCCCUAUUGUUAGUUGCUACCAUUAAGUUGAGCACUCUAGCGAGACUGCCGGUGACAAAUCGGAGGAAGGUGGGGACGACGUCAAAUCAUCAUGCCCCUUAUGUCCUGGGCUACACACGUACUACAAUGGCCAUUAACAACGGGCAGCGAAGCCGCGAGGUGGAGCAAAUCCCCAAAAAUGGCCUCAGUUCAGAUUGUAGGCUGCAACCCGCCUGCAUGAAGUAGGAAUUGCUAGUAAUCGCGAAUCAGCAUGUCGCGGUGAAUACGUUCCCGGGUCUUGUACACACCGCCCGU
RNAcentral lists this ribosomal RNA (497 nucleotides) under uncultured bacterium. RNAcentral describes it as "bacterial SSU rRNA". It matches the Rfam family "Bacterial small subunit ribosomal RNA", at positions 899 to 1397 of the family's 1533-position model. The record is from RNAcentral.